AAGCCCGCUCGCCGGAAGACCAAGGGUUCCUGUCCAACGUUAAUCGGGGCAGGGUGAGUCGACCCCUAAGGCGAGGCCGAAAGGCGUAGUCGAUGGGAAACGGGUUAAUAUUCCCGUACUUGGUGUUACUGCGAAGGGGGGACGGAGAAGGCUAUGUUGGCCGGGCGACGGUUGUCCCGGUUUAAGCGUGUAGGUGUGUGUUCCAGGUAAAUCCGGUUCACUUUAACACUGAGGCGUGACGACGAGGCACUACGGUGCUGAAGCAACAAAUGCCCUGCUUCCAGGAAAAGCCUCUAAGCAUCAGGUAACACCAAAUCGUACCCCAAACCGACACAGGUGGUCAGGUAGAGAAUACCAAGGCGCUUGAGAGAACUCGGGUGAAGGAACUAGGCAAAAUGGUGCCGUAACUUCGGGAGAAGGCACGCUGACACGUAGGUGAAGUGAUUUACUCAUGGAGCUGAAGUCAGUCGAAGAUACCAGCUGGCUGCAACUGUUUAUUAAAAACACAGCACUGUGCAAACACGAAAGUGGACGUAUACGGUGUGACGCCUGCCCGGUGCCGGAAGGUUAAUUGAUGGGGUCAGCGCAAGCGAAGCUCCUGAUCGAAGCCCCGGUAAACG
Molecule: ribosomal RNA, 620 nt
Filed under: Salmonella enterica subsp. enterica serovar Typhimurium
Lineage: Bacteria; Pseudomonadati; Pseudomonadota; Gammaproteobacteria; Enterobacterales; Enterobacteriaceae
Description: bacterial LSU rRNA
Rfam family: Bacterial large subunit ribosomal RNA
Source: RNAcentral